RNAcentral lists this unclassified non-coding RNA (2519 nucleotides) under Hevea brasiliensis (rubber tree). The record is from RNAcentral. Lineage: Eukaryota; Viridiplantae; Streptophyta; Magnoliopsida; Malpighiales; Euphorbiaceae.
AGCCAUCAGUGCUCAGGUUGAUAUGAAGUUUCUGAUUCAAUAGAAAGGAAUUUGCUAAUCCUUGUGGUAUUGAGUUGAGUUCAGUCUGAAACAACUUGAUUCAAAGCCACAUGACUGACAAACCUAAAUUGCCAAGCAUAUGGAAGUUCAUUAAAAAUUUGAGGUUGAUUUGAAGUUCUGCUUUUAAUAGAAUUUGCUGAAUAAUUUUUUUUUUCAAUGUGUCUCUGGAAAUGGACUUCUAAUACUCUUUCUGCAUUUCAAUCCAAGGAUACUUUGAAUCUGAUUCUUCCCUUCGCACGCAACUUCUUAAAGACCAUUUUCAACCCUUCUUUAUGGUCAAUUAUUAUCUCUAUUCAUUGUGAUGAAUCCUGGCAUUAAUCUGUUGAAUGGUAUAAAGUGCAUAAAUAAUAGCCCUGGCUGCUCCUCUAAUAUUCUCUGGUUCAGCAAACAAUCCAUCCAGAUUGAGGAAUGCAGAAGUUCUACACAUUCACAAUAAGUUUGGCUAUGAAUAUGAUAGCAUAACUCAAGAAACAUAGUUAAAGUUCCAACAAUAUUAAAUUCAAUAAAAGUGAAAAGUUUUCUGGAGGUACUCUUUUCUCGUAAUGACGAGCUGCAUAAAUUUUGUGGAGACCUUCAUUCCCCUGGAGUUAUUUCUAUCAAGGCACAUUGCAGUUGCUUUGCCAUUGCAUUUCAUAGAAAUCAUCAUUGUGGAUGUUUAUUUACACUUUCAAUAUGGAGUGCUGGCUAAGCUUUACUCAUUGGAAUGAAACUAUUCUGUGGAGGCGUGUAGGAUAAAAAGAGAAGAAGAAAAGAAAAGAAAAAUCUCUUUAGUAUCUGUUUGUUGUUUUUGGAUGUGCACGUGGUUAGUGAAGUUUAGGGAUGAGAAAUGUUUGACAAUUAGUUUUGCAUGCUCUCCUUAAGUGAUUAAGAAGCUGAAGAAGAAUAAGAAUAUUUUGCAAUGCAAAAAGAGAUUACAAAGAAUGUUUCAAAAGUAGAUUUAGGGAAUAUUAAGGUAUAAACAAGCUUCGCAGAUUCCCCAAGACUAUCCUUUUUUUUUUUUCCCCUGGUGCAGAGUUACACUAGUGAUUAUAUCCCUUUUGGCAUGUACUUUUCCUCCAGUUAUUAUUACAUUACUUCGCAACUUUUUUUGGGAGAAUUAUAUUAAUUUCCAUCAUGAGCAUCUGUUUGUUUUUCAAGCAAUAGACUCCGAGUUUUUAUUUCCCUCUUGCUCAUUGUGGUUUCAAAGUACAGUUGGGAUUGAUACUUUUAUUUCUAUUCUUGCAGGAUAUGUGCAGAAAAUAACAGCUCGCAAGGACAUUGGUGUAAUGGAGGACUUGGAUAAUGGAAGGCCACCCUGAGCCUAGAGAGUUUUUACAUUUCAGGGAGUAUACGCAGAUUAUAAUUUUGAUGAUUUGUAGUUUUUACAUUUUUCAUGUAAAUUGACCGUUUACAUUUAUAGAGAAUAAAAGUGAACAUCCUCAAAAAGCAGAAUUCAGAAAAGUGACGCAAAGAAUUUAUUCUUUUCUUCUUUUCCUCUUAUCUUCUGCAACCACAGUUUUGCUCUUCCUUGCCUUUAUGCACAUCCUCAGAAUCUUGUGUUCAACUGCUGGCAAGUUGCUUAAGGAAUAAUAGAUAACUUAUGCUUUAUUAGACUUUAAAUAUAGAGUAAACUUUCAUUUUUCUAGGCAGGAUAUCAAGUUUGAAGUCAUCUAUCAGCUGAUCUAUUGUUGAAAGUUUAGUAACGUUCUGUUUCUUUAAGCUUCUCACUGUUCAAAGAAAACAAAGACUCCAUACAGCAAUGCAGAAUAUUAGUUUUCUAGAGUUCCAGUACAAGCUUUCAAGAAGCAAGCUUCUGCGAAGGCCAUCCCGAUUGUUCUCUUCCCGGGACAGGCAAAGCUCUAGCACCAGCAGGACCAGCACACCACCCACUUUGCAGCCAAAUUUGAGCGAGAUGAGGCAGGUUUUCAAUAAAUUUGAUUCAAACAAAGACGGCAAAAUUUCUCAGCAGGAGUACAAGGCCACACUAAGAGCUCUGGGACAGGAAAACAUGAUAGGAGAAGUGCCAAAGAUUUUCCAGGUGGUUGAUAUGGAUGGAGAUGGAUUUAUAGAUUUCACAGAGUUUGUUGAAGCUCAAAAGAAGGGAGGAGGCAUUAAGACGACAGACAUUCAAGGUGCUUUUCAAGCAUUUGACGUUAACGGAGACGGGAAGAUAACUGCUGAGGAACUUAUGGAAGUCUUAAGGUGUCUCGGUGAGAGUUGCAGCCUAGAGGAUUGCCGGAGAAUGGUGAGGGCAGUUGAUGCUGAUGGUGAUGGUAUGGUUAACAUGGAUGAGUUCGAAACCAUGAUGACAAAGACUUUUAUUAAUCGAGAAUGAGAGGGCCUAUUCUUUUACGAAGGCUUCGUUUACUUGUAAUCCUUUUCUGUGACAAAUGCAACUGGAUAACUUCUUAUUCAGAAUUCUUCAUGUGAUGCAUAUGUUUAUAAACCAUAGUAAAGUGUUUCCUUUUAUUAUAUUUUUU